Molecule: microRNA, 25 nt
Filed under: Xenopus tropicalis (tropical clawed frog)
Lineage: Eukaryota; Metazoa; Chordata; Amphibia; Anura; Pipidae
Also listed under: 5 other names
Description: Xtr-Mir-425_5p (mature (guide))
Source: RNAcentral
AAUGACACGAUCACUCCCGUUGAGC